This 520-nucleotide ribosomal RNA is filed under the name uncultured Pseudorhodoferax sp. Its description in RNAcentral is "bacterial SSU rRNA". It matches the Rfam family "Bacterial small subunit ribosomal RNA", at positions 1 to 526 of the family's 1533-position model. The record is from RNAcentral. Lineage: Bacteria; Pseudomonadati; Pseudomonadota; Betaproteobacteria; Burkholderiales; Comamonadaceae.
UAGAGUUUGAUUCUGGCUCAGAUUGAACGCUGGCGGCAUGCCUUACACAUGCAAGUCGAACGGCAGCGCGGGGCAACCUGGCGGCGAGUGGCGAACGGGUGAGUAAUAUAUCGGAACGUGCCCUGGAGUGGGGGAUAACGCAGCGAAAGCUGUGCUAAUACCGCAUACGAUCUAUGGAUGAAAGCGGGGGAUCGCAAGACCUCGCGCGAUUGGAGCGGCCGAUAUCAGAUUAGCUAGUUGGUGGGGUAAAGGCCCACCAAGGCGACGAUCUGUAGCUGGUUGAGAGGACGACCAGCCACACGGAACUGAGACACGGUCCAGACUCCUACGGGAGGCAGCAGUGGGGAAUUUUGGACAAUGGGCGCAAGCCUGAUCCAGCAAUGCCGCGUGCAGGAUGAAGGCCUUCGGGUUGUAAACUGCUUUUGUACGGAACGAAACGGCUCUUUCUAAUAAAGAGGGCUAAUGACGGUACCGUAAGAAUAAGCACCGGCUAACUACGUGCCAGCAGCCGCGGUAAUAC